AACGAACGCUGGCGGCAUGCCUAACACAUGCAAGUCGAACGAGACCUUCGGGUCUAGUGGCGCACGGGUGCGUAACGCGUGGGAACCUGCCCUUAGGUUCGGAAUAACUCCCCGAAAGGGGUGCUAAUACCGGAUAAUGUCUUCGGACCAAAGAUUUAUCGCCUUUGGAUGGGCCCGCGUUGGAUUAGCUAGUUGGUAGGGUAAAAGCCUACCAAGGCGACGAUCCAUAGCUGGUCGGAGAGGAGGAUCAGCCGCACUGGGACUGAGACACGGCCCCGACUCCUACGGGAGGGAGCAGUAGGGAAUAUUGGACACGGGGCGAAAGCCUGAUCCAGCAACGCCGCGUGAGUGAGGAAGGCCUUAGGGUUGUAAAGCUCUUUUACCCGGGAUGAUAAUGACAGUACCGGGAGAAUAAGCUCCGGCUAACUCCGUG
This 433-nucleotide ribosomal RNA is filed under the name uncultured bacterium. RNAcentral describes it as "partial 16S ribosomal RNA". It matches the Rfam family "Bacterial small subunit ribosomal RNA", at positions 29 to 507 of the family's 1533-position model. The record is from RNAcentral.